GGUGGCUUAGUGGUAGAGCACUUGCCUUGCAUGCAGGAAGCCCUGGGUUCGAUUCCUCAGCACCA
RNAcentral lists this transfer RNA (65 nucleotides) under Dipodomys ordii (Ord's kangaroo rat). It matches the Rfam family "tRNA". From Rfam's summary of the family: Transfer RNA (tRNA) molecules are approximately 80 nucleotides in length. Their secondary structure includes four short double-helical elements and three loops (D, anti-codon, and T loops). The record is from Rfam by way of RNAcentral. Lineage: Eukaryota; Metazoa; Chordata; Mammalia; Rodentia; Heteromyidae.